RNAcentral lists this ribosomal RNA (235 nucleotides) under uncultured Candidatus Saccharibacteria bacterium. RNAcentral describes it as "partial 16S ribosomal RNA". It matches the Rfam family "Bacterial small subunit ribosomal RNA", at positions 584 to 818 of the family's 1533-position model. The record is from RNAcentral. Lineage: Bacteria; Candidatus Saccharimonadota.
UAAGCAGGUAGUGAAAUGACAAGGCUCAACCUUGUGUCCAUUGCCUGAACUGCUCAGCUAGAGCAUGAAAGAGGUAGCUGGAAUUUCUAGUGUAGGAGUGAAAUCCGUAGAUAUUAGAAGGAACACCGAUGGCGUAGGCAGGCUACUGGUUCAUUGCUGACGCUCAGGCACGAAAGCGUGGGGAGCGACCGGGAUUAGAUACCCCGUUAGUCCACGCCGUAAACGAUGGAUGCUA